CCUACGGGUGGCUGCAGUGGGGGAUAUUGCACAAUGGAGGGAACUCUGAUGCAGCGACGCCGCGUGAGGGAAGAAGGUUUUCGGAUUGUAAACCUCUGUCUUCGGGGACGAAACGAGUCGGUAGCCGUGGAGGAAGCCACGGCUAACUACGUGCCAGCAGCCGCGGUAAUACGCGGGUGGGACGCGUUGUCCGGAAUUACUGGGUGUAAGGGGGGCGUAGGCGGGAAGGCAAGUUGAAUGUUUAAGGAACGGGCUCAACCUGUACAAGCGUUCUAAACUGUUUUUUUUGAGUGGAGGAGAGGUAGGCGGAAUUCCUAGUGUAGCGGUGAAAUGCGUAGAUAUUAGGAGGAACACCAGUGGCGAAGGCGGCUUACUGGACGGCAACUGACGGUGAGGCGCGAAAGCGUGGGGAGCAAACAGGAUUAGAUACCCGUGUAGUC
RNAcentral lists this ribosomal RNA (440 nucleotides) under uncultured bacterium. RNAcentral describes it as "partial 16S ribosomal RNA". It matches the Rfam family "Bacterial small subunit ribosomal RNA", at positions 338 to 795 of the family's 1533-position model. The record is from RNAcentral.